Molecule: long non-coding RNA, 1230 nt
Filed under: Lonchura striata (white-rumped munia)
Lineage: Eukaryota; Metazoa; Chordata; Aves; Passeriformes; Estrildidae
Description: domestica (Bengalese finch) lncRNA (ENSLSDG00000014606.1)
Source: RNAcentral
CCCCGCCGCCGCGCUGGGCCGGCCCGCGCCCGGCCGGGUGUCUCUGCGAGCGCCGGCGCUGUCCCCGCGCCCUGAGCAGCGGCCUCGGGCAGGCAGAGGAGGGAAACCUGAACUCCUGAGUGAAUGCUAAAUAGUGCAUGGAAUUGGAGAGGUACCAUGACCCUUGCAAGGAGAUGGAGUAGGUGCCUAAGGAAAAGCUGAAGAUCUGGAAUUCCACACAAGCUUAGCCAUGAUCCAUAUGAUGGGGCGAUGUAGCCGAGCUGUGGGCUGACCGAGGUUUGCAUCACUGCCCUGACCCAGAUUGCAUCUGCAGUCAUCUGGAACUGACUACAUGCCUGAACUGAUAAAAGAGGCUGUGGAAAUAAGGAUCUCUGGGGCCUUGGCAAGGUGCUUGUGCCAUAUCCACCUGUCCUCUGGAAGACAAAAGAGUGAAGAUCAGCAGUGUGUCAUUUAUUCUGCAAAAACUGAACAGAUGAGAACUGCUGUGACAGCCAAUAGAAGAAAUUAAAAAUUAAGAAAAGGCUGGUAUGGAACAAGAGGAAAAUUAUCCCAGCAUUUUGCACUUUUUUGUAAUCAAAGUCCUGUCUUUGGAGGGUGUUAUAUCAACUACACACUUGGUGAGGCCUGUAGGGAUUUUCCUUGUGUAACGCCUGCAGGAUUUAGCCUUAGCAUGUCACACUAUUAUAAGAGUGAUGUCCAGUAAGCAAUAGGUGGACUCUCUUGGGAAAAACACAGGAAGAAAACUUGGUGAGAGCUGGAUCCUCUGCAGUGUCACCUCUCAUGAAGGAUUGACAAAAGGAAAAAAAAAAAAAGGAGUGAACUAAUAUUAGAAGGAUGGAUUGGAUGCUUCCUGUUGUAGAACAGGAUAAAAUCCUGUGACAUGUUCCUUCCUAUUAGGUGGGAUACUACUGCUUAUGAUAAAGAUUGAUUUCUAAAAAUCCAUUGUAAAGAUAUAGGUCAGCAAAUAAGACAGUGACUUGACUAAUUUUUCAUUUCAAAAUGUAUGAUAGUUUCAUGCCUUUAAUUGACAUCAGUGCAGUGUGUUGUUGAAUCCAAUGAAAUUUGAAUCCCACUAUGAAUUUGUUUUCCACAGAUUAUGAACAGAAGCCUUUGAUUUCUAUUAAUUAUGUAUUUUUGAGUGAAAAGCUAUUUUGUGUAUAUAUAUUUAAUAGCAGGAAAUGUAGCAAAUGUUUAUUUUUAUUAAACUAAUAAAAAGGAUAAAAUCUAUCA